This 301-nucleotide ribosomal RNA is filed under the name uncultured bacterium. RNAcentral describes it as "partial 16S ribosomal RNA". It matches the Rfam family "Bacterial small subunit ribosomal RNA", at positions 509 to 807 of the family's 1533-position model. The record is from RNAcentral.
CAGUAGCCGCGGGAAUACGUAGGGUGCAAGCGUUAAUCGGAAUUACUGGGCGUAAAGCGUGCGUAGGUGGUGGUUUAAGUCCGUUGUGAAAGCCCUGGGCUCAACCUGGGAAUUGCAGUGGAUACUGGGUCACUAGAGUGUGGUAGAGGAUAGUGGAAUUUCCGGUGUAGCAGUGAAAUGCGUAGAGAUCGGAAGGAACAUCUGUGGCGAAGGCGACUAUCUGGGCCAACACUGACACUGAGGCACGAAAGCGUGGGGAGCAAACAGGAUUAGAUACCCCAGUAGUCCCUGUCUCUUAUAC